UAACUAGGCUUAAAAAAUUCGUCUCGAGAUUUACAGAUAAACUCUACAAUUAGUUUUUGUUUUCAUCUAUAUUUAAUGCUCUAUGCGUGUGCCGCAAGAUUCGAUGUGACGUGGAAUCUUGAAAAGUUUUUUAUUUUUGGAUGAACAAAGGCCUCAGUACCGGUUGACUUAAUACAACCUCUUUUAAAAAUGUCUUUUCUCUGCUCCUAGAAAUGAACUAUUUUUACAAUCAACAACAUAACCGUUUCUAAAAAUUGAUUUUGACCAUGUCUAAAAAAUCAUUUUUUGUAGUAAUAAGAAAUAGGUAUUUUAUUUUAUAAGACUUAUAGCCACAGAAACCAUCAGCCAAAUAGGAACAUUAAAUUGAGGAGUGCCAUUUCGCAGAAGUUAUUCUUUGGGACUGAUAGCUGCAAUGUUAAUCAUAUGCAUACCGUACUUCUAGCCAAAAAAAAAAAAUCAUAUGUCUUCAAUGUACAAUCCGAUGAGAACUAGAAAUAUGUGCGGCGUUGCCGCUUAUGGCUAGUGGUUAGCUAUGCGCCGUACGUAUGUUUAUGUGUUUUUGUUUUUUUCUUUAUACGGUGUACAUUUUAAAUGUAUUCAUUUUGUUUGUUUACAUGCGUCAUAUAAUAUACUCAUAUAUGCGAGUGUACGGAAUGUCAUAUAUAUGGUGAGAUAUUUGGCUUCGUAUAUCUAUGUCAGCGAUUAUUUGUUUUGGAUUUUUUUUAUUACGAGUUAGUAUAAAAUAUAUGAAUUGAUUUAGAGCUAAGGUGGGGAGAAUUAGAAAGCAAAGAUUGUGAACAAGGUUAUGAAUUUAUUUAGAAUUAAUUUUUGGAGAUAUUUUUAGUUCAUAUGCGAUAUGAGCAAAAAAUUAAUCAAUGACAUAAAAUUAUAGAUGUAUAUAUCUAUCAAAUAAAAUACACUAAAUCAUAAGAUAUUUUAAGUUAAAUGCAUAGAUCUAGUCAUAAUAAACUCAACAAAAUUAGUUUGGUAUUUUUAUGAUUUUUCUAUAUUUUUUUACGAUUUUUUAGAGAUCUCUAUUUUGAAAAGAAAAGAUUAAAAAUUAAUAGGAAAAUAAAAAUAGUAUAGGGCCGUAUUUGGCCACUUAGGCCCAGCAAGCUUGAGGCCAGCCCAGGUUGGAGGCAGGCGCAUAUGGACUGGUCAUUAAUUUCAGUAAAGUUUGAGGACUAUUUUGAAUAAAAAAUAUGAGAGAGUGGACUGGACGGCGGGUUAUAUUUCAACAAAGUGCGAGGGCUUUUCCGAAAAACUACAGAAAAUGGCCCGAUCCAUAGGCUAGACGGCGGGUUAUAUUUCAAUAAAAUGCGAGGGCUUUUUUGUAAAAUGACAGAGAAUGGCCCGAUCUGAGCCGUCCGGCCGGCCGAUCAGACGGCCGGGAAUUGCGGGCGACGUGGCCACGCUCUCUGGGCCUCUUUUGUUACGUGAAUCGUAUUUAGAAGAUGAUAUAUAUAGAGGUGCUUUUUUUUGAACUUAUAGAUAGAGGUGCUUGAAGCACUUAACAUGUGAGAAAACUUUCCGUAGUCCAUAACUAGUCAGGACAUAAGAGGUUCAAUUUUAUACAUGUUCAGUCGACAUCACGGCAAAUGGAGAAACCCAUCACGCUGCCAGA
This 1624-nucleotide long non-coding RNA is filed under the name Sorghum bicolor (sorghum). RNAcentral describes it as "long non-coding RNA (SBIC_LNC009889)". Lineage: Eukaryota; Viridiplantae; Streptophyta; Magnoliopsida; Poales; Poaceae. The record is from RNAcentral.